GGGAGCUUGCUCCCAAAUCUUAGCGGCGGACGGGUGAGUAACACGUGGGCAACCUGCCCUGCAGACUGGGAUAACUCCGGGAAACCGGAGCUAAUACCGGGUAAUACAUAGCACCCGCAUGGUGCAAUGUUGAAAGUUGGCUUUCGAGCUAACACUGCAGGAUGGGCCCGCGGCGCAUUAGCUAGUUGGUAAGGUAAUGGCUUACCAAGGCGACGAUGCGUAGCCGACCUGAGAGGGUGAUCGGCCACACUGGGACUGAGACACGGCCCAGACUCCUACGGGAGGCAGCAGUAGGGAAUCUUCCGCAAUGGACGAAAGUCUGACGGAGCAACGCCGCGUGAGUGACGAAGGCCUUCGGGUCGUAAAGCUCUGUUGUUAGGGAAGAACAAGUACCGUUCGAAUAGGGCGGUACCUUGACGGUACCUAACCAGAAAGCCACGGCUAACUACGUGCCAGCCGCCGCGGUAAUACGGUCAUAGC
This 480-nucleotide ribosomal RNA is filed under the name Bacillus sp. 4.2. Its description in RNAcentral is "bacterial SSU rRNA". It matches the Rfam family "Bacterial small subunit ribosomal RNA", at positions 74 to 535 of the family's 1533-position model. The record is from RNAcentral. Lineage: Bacteria; Bacillati; Bacillota; Bacilli; Caryophanales; Bacillaceae.